GACGAACGCUGGCGGCGUGCCUAAUACAUGCAAGUAGAACGCACAGUUUAUACCGUAGCUUGCUACACCAUAGACUGUGAGUUGCGAACGGGUGAGUAACGCGUAGGUAACCUGCCUGGUAGCGGGGGAUAACUAUUGGAAACGAUAGCUAAUACCGCAUAAUAUUAAUUAUUGCAUGAUAAUUAAUUGAAAGGUGCAAUUGCACCACUACCAGAUGGACCUGCGUUGUAUUAGCUAGUAGGUGAGGUAACGGCUCACCUAGGCGACGAUACAUAGCCGACCUGAGAGGGUGAUCGGCCACACUGGGACUGAGACACGGCCCAGACUCCUACGGGAGGCAGCAGUAGGGAAUCUUCGGCAAUGGACGAAAGUCUGACCGAGCAACGCCGCGUGAGUGAAGAAGGUUGUCGGAUCGUAAAGCUCUGUUGUAAGAGAAGAACGGGUGUGAGAGUGGAAAGUUCACACUGUGACGGUAUCUUAACAGAAAGGGACGGCUAACUACGUG
RNAcentral lists this ribosomal RNA (505 nucleotides) under uncultured bacterium. RNAcentral's name for it is "partial 16S ribosomal RNA". It matches the Rfam family "Bacterial small subunit ribosomal RNA", at positions 28 to 507 of the family's 1533-position model. The record is from RNAcentral.